UGGAAACUGAAGUGGAGCUCAGGAGCUGAACUGGUGUGUCUCUCUGAACACUAGAAUCUUGCUUGGGACAAAUCUUGUGAGUUUGAGAAAUGAUGGAAGAAGUGUGGAACAACACGUAGGUCUGGCUGCCAGUUUCCUUCACCAACAUUCAUAAAUUUGAGGUGCACAGAGAAACUUGGAUUUAUGAUGAGAAGAUUCUGCAAGUUAUAGUUGCAAUAAUCUCUGGCGCAGUUUAAAGAAAGAGAAGCAUGGAUAAAAUUAAAUUGCUCAGAUAAUUGAAAAAAGAAAGAAAUUUGCAAAUUAUACCAUUUCCUUGGAUGCUGCAGUAAAAUAGAGAUACUAUAAUGAGACUCACCACAGGGGGCAGUGGUGAAAGAUAGCCUAUUGACGACUAGAGCACAUUCAUUCAGUCUUCUACUGAUAUAUGGUUAUUAUUGUUAUUUUACUUGAAACUUUAUUGAACUCUAUUAUGAAACUUUAUAGCAUAGUAACAUCAUUAUAAGUAACCCAAGUCUCCAGGAAAUCAUGAAAAAAAGCAGACUGAAGUAAAGGAUUAAAUAGUCUUAUUUAAAUGAAAGAAAUAUUCUGCUUCUAAUUAGAGACAAGUAUAGUAUUGUUCAGCUUUGAGUGCACAGAUUUUCUAACAUAUAAUGUCUAAGUCUACAAAGAGCUGGCCAUAUCUGUAAAAGGAUAACUAAUUAAUGGUGAGCUUGGCCGUAGCAAAACAAAAUUUUAUGAGACAGGGACACUGGGUAUGUAGCUCCUUAUCUUGAUUUGGUUAUUACAUCACAUAAGUCACCAUAAUUUUUCCACUAGUACAAAAUCAUACCAUGCCAAUGGAAUGAUUAAUGUUUUCUUUCAUCUUCUUCAAGGAACUGGCUAAUAUUAAUUGAAAUAAAAUUAUGCUUUGUUGAAUUUGGACAAAAACUAAGAUAUGUAUGACUAAGUACAAGAGUACUUUAUUCCAGAAAAAGAUCUUUCUAUAAACUGGAUUGCUUUAUUGUAAGUUCUAUUUUUACAUCGGUCUUCUUUUUUAAAUUGAAUAAGCAUUUCAACUUUAGAAUCAGAAAGGGUUAAAAUAUUACCAAAUUUCACCAAAGAAUGUGUUAAAAUAAUUUUUUGA
Monodelphis domestica (gray short-tailed opossum) is the source of this 1123-nucleotide non-coding RNA. The record is from RefSeq and is a predicted model, not a curated record. Lineage: Eukaryota; Metazoa; Chordata; Mammalia; Didelphimorphia; Didelphidae.